AAUAGAUACCCGGGUAGUCCAUGCCGUAAACGUUGGGCACUAGGUGUGGGGCUCAUUCCACGAGUUCCGUGCCGCAGCAAACGCAUUAAGUGCCCCGCCUGGGGAGUACGGCCGCAAGGCUAAAACUCAAAGGAAUUGACGGGGGCCCGCACAAGCGGCGGAGCAUGCGGAUUAAUUCGAUGCAACGCGAAGAACCUUACCAAGGCUUGACAUGCACGGGAAGCCACCAGAGAUGGUGGUCUCUUUGGACACUCGUGCACAGGUGGUGCAUGGUUGUCGUCAGCUCGUGUCGUGAGAUGUUGGGUUAAGUCCCGCAACGAGCGCAACCCUCGUCCCAUGUUGCCAGCGGGUUAUGCCGGGGACUCAUGGGAGACUGCCGGGGUCAACUCGGAGGAAGGUGGGGAUGACGUCAAAUCAUCAUGCCCCUUAUGUCUUGGGCUUCACGCAUGCUACAAUGGCCGGUACAAAGGGCUGCGAUACCGUAAGGUGGAGCGAAAUCCCAAAAAGCCGGUCUCAGUUCGGAUUGGGGUCUG
RNAcentral lists this ribosomal RNA (533 nucleotides) under uncultured bacterium. RNAcentral's name for it is "bacterial SSU rRNA". It matches the Rfam family "Bacterial small subunit ribosomal RNA", at positions 777 to 1307 of the family's 1533-position model. The record is from RNAcentral.